Molecule: ribosomal RNA, 1393 nt
Filed under: uncultured bacterium
Lineage: Bacteria
Description: bacterial SSU rRNA
Rfam family: Bacterial small subunit ribosomal RNA
Source: RNAcentral
AGAGUUUGAUCCUGCUUCAGGAUGAACGCUAGCGACAGGCCUAACACAUGCAAGUCGAGGGGUAACAGGGGCUUCGGCCCCGCUGACGACCGGCGCACGGGUGAGUAACGCGUAUGCAACCUGCCUGUAACAGCGGGAUAGCUCCCUGAAAGGGGAAUUAACACCGCAUAAGACCACGCUCUCGCAUGGGGACGGGGUAAAAUAUUUAUAGGUUACAGAUGGGCAUGCGUGACAUUAGUUAGUUGGUGAGGUAACGGCUCACCAAGACUGCGAUGUCUAGGGGUUCUGAGAGGAAGGUCCCCCACACUGGAACUGAGACACGGUCCAGACUCCUACGGGAGGCAGCAGUGAGGAAUAUUGGUCAAUGGACGCAAGUCUGAACCAGCCAUGUCGCGUGCAGGAUGACUGCCCUAUGGGUUGUAAACUGCUUUUAUAUUGGAAGAAUUGCGCUUACGAGUUAAGCGUUUGACGGUACAUUAUGAAUAAGGAUCGGCUAACUCCGUGCCAGCAGCCGCGGUAAUACGGAGGAUCCGAGCGUUAUCCGGAUUUAUUGGGUUUAAAGGGUGCGUAGGCGGAAAUGUAAGUCAGUGGUGAAAUCCUGCAGCUUAACUGUAGAAUAGCCGUUGAAACUGUGUUUCUUGAGUACAUUUGAGGUAGGCGGAAUGUGGUGUGUAGCGGUGAAAUGCAUAGAUAUACCACAGAACACCGAUUGCGAAGGCAGCUUACUAAACUGUCACUGACGCUGAUGCACGAAAGCGUGGGUAUCAAACAGGAUUAGAUACCCUGGUAGUCCACGCUGUAAACGAUGGAUAACUCCCUGUUGGCGAUACACAGUCGGUGGCCAAGCGAAAGCAUUAAUUUAUCCACCUGGGGAGUGCGACCGCAAGGUUGAAACUCAAAGGAAUUGACGGGGGCCCGCACAAGCGGAGGAACAUGUGGUUUAAUUCGAUGAUACGCGAGGAACCUUACCCGGGCUCGAACGGUGCAUGAAUAUACGAGAGAUUGUAUAGUCCUUCGGGACAUGUAUCGAGGUGCUGCAUGGUUGUCGUCAGCUCGUGCCGUGAGGUGUCGGCUUAAGUGCCAUAACGAGCGCAACCCUUGUCAUUAGUUGCCAUCAGGUCAAGCUGGGGACUUUAAUGAGACUGCCACCGUAAGGUGUGAGGAAGGGGGGGAUGACGUCAAAUCAGCACGGCCCUUAUGUCCGGGGCGACACACAUGUUACAAUGGGAGGUACAGAGGGCAGCUAUCCGGUGACGGAAUGCUAAUCUCCAAAACCUUUCUCAGUUCGGAUUGGAGUCUGCAACUCGACUCCAUGAAGGUGGAUUCGCUAGUAAUCGCGCAUCAGCCAUGGCGCGGUGAAUACGUUCCCGGGCCUUGCACACACCGCCCGUCA